UACGUAGGGGGCGAGCGUUGUCCGGAUUCAUUGGGCGUAAAGCGCUUUAAGGCGGUUCGCUAAGUCGCGUGUGAAACCUCCAGGCUCAACCUGGAGACGCCACGCGAUACUGGCGUGACUAGAGUUCGGUAGGGGAUCACGGAAUUCCUGGCGUAGCGGUGAAAUGCGCAGAUAUCAGGAGGAACACCGGUGGCGAAGGCGGUGAUCUGGGCCGACACUGACGCUGUAGAGCGAAAGCGUGGGGAGCGAACAGG
RNAcentral lists this ribosomal RNA (254 nucleotides) under uncultured bacterium. RNAcentral describes it as "partial 16S ribosomal RNA". It matches the Rfam family "Bacterial small subunit ribosomal RNA", at positions 524 to 776 of the family's 1533-position model. The record is from RNAcentral.